Molecule: ribosomal RNA, 497 nt
Filed under: uncultured bacterium
Lineage: Bacteria
Description: partial 16S ribosomal RNA
Rfam family: Bacterial small subunit ribosomal RNA
Source: RNAcentral
GAUGAACGCUGGCGGCGUGCCUAAUUCAUGCAAGUCGAGCGAACAGAUGAGGAGCUUGCUCCUCUGACGUUAGCGGCGGACGGGUGAGUAACACGUGGAUAACCUACCUAUAAGACUGGGAUAACUUCGGGAAACCGGAGCUAAUACCGGAUAAUAUAUUGAACCGCAUGGUUCAAUAGUGAAAGACGGUUUUGCUGUCACUUAUAGAUGGAUCCGCGCCGCAUUAGCUAGUUGGUAAGGUAACGGCUUACCAAGGCAACGAUGCGUAGCCGACCUGAGAGGGUGAUCGGCCACACUGGAACUGAGACACGGUCCAGACUCCUACGGGAGGCAGCAGUAGGGAAUCUUCCGCAAUGGGCGAAAGCCUGACGGAGCAACGCCGCGUGAGUGAUGAAGGUCUUCGGAUCGGUAAACUCUUUUAUUAGGGAAGAACAAAUGUGUAAGUAACUAUGCACGUCUUGACGGUACCUAAUCAGAAAUCCACGGCUAACUACGUG